CGUGUAGGCGGCCUAUGCAAGUCGGGUGUGAAAGCCCUCGGCUCAACUGAGGAAGUGCACCCGAAACUACGUGGCUGGGAGUCCUGGGAGAGGAAGGUGGAAUGCUCGGUGUAGAGGUGAAAUUCGUAGAUAUCGAGCGGAACACCGGUGGCGAAGGCGGCCUUCUGGACAGUGACUGACGCUGAGACGCGAAAGCGUGGGGAGCAAACAGGAUUAGAUACCCUGGUAGUCCACGCUGUAAACGAUGAGUGCUAGGUGUCACGGGCUUUGACCCUCGUGGUGCCGAAGCUAACGCGUUAAGCACUCCGCCUGGGGAGUACGGCCGCAAGGCUAAA
Molecule: ribosomal RNA, 335 nt
Filed under: uncultured bacterium
Lineage: Bacteria
Description: bacterial SSU rRNA
Rfam family: Bacterial small subunit ribosomal RNA
Source: RNAcentral